UACGGAGGGUGCGAGCGUUGUCCGGAUUUAUUGGGCGUAAAGCGAGCGCAGGUGGUUUAUUAAGUCUGGUGUAAAAGGCAGUGGCUCAACCAUUGUAUGCAUUGGAAACUGGUAGACUUGAGUGCAGGAGAGGAGAGUGGAAUUCCAUGUGUAGCGGUGAAAUGCGUAGAUAUAUGGAGGAACACCGGUGGCGAAAGCGGCUCUCUGGCCUGUAACUGACACUGAGGCUCGAAAGCGUGGGGAGCAAACAGG
RNAcentral lists this ribosomal RNA (252 nucleotides) under uncultured bacterium. RNAcentral's name for it is "partial 16S ribosomal RNA". It matches the Rfam family "Bacterial small subunit ribosomal RNA", at positions 524 to 776 of the family's 1533-position model. The record is from RNAcentral. RNAcentral also lists the same sequence under 1 other name.